Molecule: ribosomal RNA, 195 nt
Filed under: uncultured Streptococcus sp.
Lineage: Bacteria; Bacillati; Bacillota; Bacilli; Lactobacillales; Streptococcaceae
Description: partial 16S ribosomal RNA
Rfam family: Bacterial small subunit ribosomal RNA
Source: RNAcentral
CAUCAUGCCCCUUACUGACCUGGGCUACACACGUGCUACAAUGGUUGGUACAACGAGUUGCGAGUCGGUGACGGCGAGCUAAUCUCUUAAAGCCAAUCUCAGUUCGGAUUGUAGGCUGCAACUCGCCUACAUGAAGUCGGAAUCGCUAGUAAUCGCGGAUCAGCACGCCCGCGGUCCGAAUACGUUCCGGGCCUU